Molecule: long non-coding RNA, 17195 nt
Filed under: Triticum aestivum (bread wheat)
Lineage: Eukaryota; Viridiplantae; Streptophyta; Magnoliopsida; Poales; Poaceae
Description: long non-coding RNA (TAES_LNC010944)
Source: RNAcentral
GUUGUAACACCCUCGAUGCGACUAUAUCUCCCACGUGUCGAGGCACGACUUAGAGGCAUAAUCGCAUUGAAGGCAAUGUCGCAAGUGAGGUAAUCUUCACACAACCCAUGUAAUAUAAUAGGGGAAAAAGUUACAUAGUUGGCUUACACUCGCCACUUCACACAAUUACAUGAAUAAAACAUUACAUCAACCAAGUACAAUCAGGGCCCGACUACGGAGCCAAAAUAAAAGAAGAACCCCAAAUGCGACAAAGAUCCCCGAUCGACCCCAACUGGGCUCCACUACUGAUCAACUAGAACGAAACAACACAAAUGAACAAGGUCUUCAUCGAGCUCCUCCCGAGCUUGGUUGCGUCAUCUGGACGGUCUCAUCGGCACCUGCAAACUGGUUUUGGAAGUAUCUGUGAGCCACAGGGACUCAGCAAUCUCGCACCCUCGCGAUCAAGACUAUUUAAGCUUAUGGGUAAGGUGAAGGUAUGAGGUGGAGCUGCAGCAAGCGACUAACAUAUAUGGUGGCUAACCUAUUCGCAAAAGAGAGCGAGAAGAGAAGGCAAAGCACGGUCGAUAAAAGUAUGAUCAAGAAGUGAUCCUGGACUACCUACGCCAAGCAUAACUCCAACAACCGUGUUCACUUCCCGGACUCCGCCGGAAAGAGACCAUCACGGUUACACACGCUGUUGAUUCAUUUUAAUUAAGGUCAACUUUAGGUUUUCUACAACCGGACGUUAACAAAUUCCCAUCUGCCCAUAACCACGGGCACGGCUUUCGAAAGAUCAAAUCCAUGCAGGGUGUCCCAACUUAGCCCAUGACAAGCUCUCACGGUCAACGAAGGAAUAGACCUCCACCCGAGAUAUUCCGAUCAAACUCGGUAUCCCAGUACAACAAGACAUUUCGACAGGGUAAAACUAAACCAGCAACACCGCCCGAUGCGCCGACAUCCUGAUAGGAGCUGCACAUAUCUCGUUCUCAGGGCAACACCGGAUGAACACUACGUACAGCUAAAACCAGCCCUCAAGUUUCCCCGAGGUGGCGCCGCAAGUGGCUCUAGUUUGGACCAACGCUUAGACAAGCACUGGCCCGGGGGGUUAAAAUAAAGAUGACCCUCGGGAUGCGCGACUCCCAAGGGAAAAAGGCUAGGUGGCAAAUGGUAAAACCAAUGUUGGGCAUUGCUGGCAAAGCUUUACUUAAGGCGAAGUGUCAAGGGGUUCCCAUUAUAGCCCAACCGCGUAAGGGACGCAAAAUCCGGGAACAUAACACCGAUAAGACGGAAACUAGGGCGGCAAGAGUGGAACAAAACACCAGGCAUAAGGCCGAGCCUUCCACCCUUUACCAAGUAUAUAGAUGCAUUAAUUAAAUACGAUAUAUAGUGAUAUCCCAACAAGUAAAACAUGUUCCAACAAGGAACAACAUCUCCAUGUUCCAACAAGGAACAAUCUUCAAACUUCACCUGCAACUAACAACGCUAUAAGAGGGGCGGAGCAAAGCGGUAACAUAGCCAAUCAACGGUUUGCUAGGACAUGGUGGGUUAGGGGCUGAACAUGGCAAUUUGGGAGGCUGACAAGCAAGUGGUAGGCAUCGUAGCAAUGGCAUAGCAAAAGAGCGAGCAAACUAGCAUAGCAAAGAUAGUAGUGAUUUCGAGGGUAUGAUCAUCUUGCCUGAAAUCUCGCAAGGAAGAAGAACGAGUCCAUGAAGAAGACAAACGGACGAAGAUGAACGGGUCCUCACAAACUCGACGUUAUCGGAAUCAACCCGAAGAAGCAAUCACCGGAAAAGAAGCACACAACAUAGUAAACAACCAACACAUCAACAUGGCAUGAUGCACAAACGAGUAUGAUGCAUGUCCGGUUUAAAGAGGCAUGGCAUGGCAAAAUGCACAAGCAAUCCUACAAAUUAAGUGGAGCUCAAUAUGCAACGAGUUGCAUAUUGACGAAACACCACAUCAAUUAUUUAGUUCUCUCUCGUUUAUGUACCCAACAAUAUUAAAUGUUGAUUAACAUGGCAAGAGGUGAAACAUGAUGAAACUAUCUAAUCUAGGCAUGUUUAAAUGAGCCGGAACAACAAAACAACAAGUCCGGAAAAUCCCCAUGUGCAAAUAUUAGGUUUGGUCCUGAUCUGUCCUAAACACAAUUUUAGAGUUGUUUAACAUGCAAAGUAAGGUCACCAUGAUAAACUAGGCAAAAUUCUACCCCAUUUACAUAUAAAGUUUAUUAAAUUCCGAGUUACGGUUAUUAAGUUAUGAAUAAAAUCAUUUUAGCAUGACAUAGAGCAAAAUUAAUGCAAACAACAUUUUAGACAUUUUAACAUGGCAAGAAAGUGGCAUAUUAUUAAUCUACACAAAAUUCUGAGCAAGUUUCAUUUAUAAAGCAUUUUAAUCCGAUGCACGGUUAAUUAGUUAUUAAAUGCAUGAAGACUAGGGGCUUUUCUGUAAAUCUGCAAAUCCCUGUAAAUAGAUAAAUCGCUGAACAGGAAAAAAAAACGAGUCAUGGGAUGAUUCUGAAACAGGGCAGGCGGUGGGGGCUCUCUCACCACGGGCUUCGGCCCGGUAGCAGGAGGAGGAGGCAGGCCGGCGAUGCUGGGUCUCGGAUCUGGUUGGCGGCCCAGCAGAGAGGAGGGACUGGCGCUGGGCCUGGUGGAGCUGGGCCGGAUCGGGCGAAGGGGAGGCGGCCCGCGCGAGAGGGAUCUCGUCCCCGACCUCCCGCCGAGGCCGAGGCGAGCCAUGGUGGCGGCGGCAGGGUCCGGUGGUGGCCUGAGGCGGCGGGGCGAGGCGACACCGGCAGGAAUGGACAGAUCGGGAACUAGGGAAGCUGGAUCCGGUGUCGAGGGUGGUCGACGGCGCUCGGGGAUGCGGGAUCCGGCAGGGCGGAGCUCUCAUGGCGGCGCAAGUCGACGGGGCUUGGCAGGGAGCAAGGUGGUGCGGCCGGGAGGCCAGCGCGGAAGGAGGCGGUGCCUCUCCAGCGAAGUCCGGUAGGGGAGGCGGCGAUGCGGGCUCUGGAUCGGGGCUCCUCCCGAUCUGGAGCUCGGGGAGCAGGGGUGGCGCGAUGCGGCCUCAGGGCCCAGAUCGGGGCCCGGGCGGCCUGGAGCGGGCCUGGCGGCGCGGGGCGAUGGGAGGAGGCGGUGGGGCGACGUGGCAGCGCCCGGUUGGGCAGGGCGACGCCUCAGGUGGCGGCUGGCCUCUUGGCAGCGCCCCAAGUGGCGACGGGGAGGUGGCUGCGCGCGGAAAUCAAGGAGAAGGAGGUGGGAGGCGGCUGGGAAAUGAUUGGGGCACUGAGAUUUAGGAGGAGGGGUAGGUAGCUGCCCAAAAUGGAAGGGGGAAGGUUUAUAUAGGGCAGGUUUUAGGGUUAGGGGGGUUUCGCUCCGUUUCUGGAUCCUCCGAUCGCAAACGAACGGCCCCGGUCAAAGGGGAAAACUAGAUGGGGUUUGUGGGCUGUGUAGGAGGGUUAGGCUGGGAGGAGAGGGGAGAGAUGCAGCCCGGCACAGUUUCCGGAGACCGAAAACCUGCGACGAAAAGACCGGCUACUAUUGCCGCUAUAUUUAAUCAUUGGGGCAUCAAACGAACUCCGAUUGCGAUGAAACUUGACAGGAGGUCUAUCUACACUAUAAUAAGACCACACGUCAAAUCUCAUCCCAUUCCGAGAACAUUUUCUGGCCACUUAUAAAAUACUAUCUCGGACAUGCCGCGGGCGCGUGCAAGUGUGUCUCGUCUCAGAAUGGACAACGGAGAGAACGAGGAGGCCGGGACGGAUGCAAGUUUUGAAAACAUGAUGACGCAAUGCACAUGAUGACAUGAUGAAAUGCAACACGCAAGCAAAUGACAUGGCAACGACGGCGAAUAACUGCACGACACCUGGCACAUCGGUCUCGGGGCGUUACACUAGUGAUCUUGUCAACCAUCAACACUUGAUGUUUUUCUUGAUUUCUACCUUCGUUUAUUUCAGCAUCACGAAGAGCUUGGGAGUUGUUUCCGCUAUCCCUUGCUUAUUAUAGUUCAUCACGAAGUUCUACUAACUUGGUGAUGGUGACUAGAGAAUUCUGUCAAUCACUAUCUUAUCUGGAAGAUUGACUCCCACUUGAUUCAAGCGAUUGUAGUACCCAGACAAUCUGAGCACAUGCUCACUAGUUGAGCGAUUCUCCUCCAUCUUUUAGCUAUAGAACUUGUUGGAGAUUUCAUAUCUCUCAACUCGGGUAUUUUCUUGAAAUAUUAACUUCAACUCCUGGAACAUCUCAUAUGGUCCAUGACGUUCAAAACGUCUUUAAAGUCCCGAUUCUAAGCCACUAAGCAUGAUGCACUAAACUAUCAAGUAGUCAUUUUUGGGGAACGUAGUAAUUUCAAAAAAUUUCCUACGCACACGCAAGAUCAUGGUGAUGCAUAGCAACGAGAGGGGAGAGUGUUGUCUACGUACCAACGCAGACCGACUGCGGAAGCGAUCACACAACGUAGAGGAAGUAGUCGUACGUCUUCUUUCCGAUCCGACCGAUCCAAGCACCGUUACUCCGGCACCUCCGAGUUCUUAGCACACGUACAGCUCGAUGACGAUCCCCGGGCUCCGAUCCAGCAAAGCUUCGGGGAGGAGUUCCGUCAGCACGACGGCGUGGUGACGAUCUUGAUGUUCUGCCGACGCAGGGCUUCGCCUAAGCACUACAACGGUAUGACCGAGGUGGAAUAUGGUGGCAGGGGCACUGCACACGGCUAAGGGACGAUCUCAAGGAUCAACUUGUGUGUCUAUGGGGUGCCCCUUGCCUCAGUAUAUAAAGGAUGGAGGAGGAGGAGGCCGGCCAAGGCAUAAGGUGCGGCCAGGAUGGGAGUCCUACUAGGACUCCAAGUCCUAGUAGGAGUCCAUCAAGAGGGGAGGAAGGGAGAAGGAAGUGGAGGAGUAGGAAAGGUGGCCGGCCCCCUUUUCCCUAGUCCAAUUCGGACUAGAGGGGAGGGGGGGCGCAGCAGGCCUUUUCUCCUCUUCCCACUAAAGCCCAUCAAGGCCCAAUACUUCUCCCAGCGAAUUCCCGUCACUCUCCGGUACUCCGAAAAAUACCCGAAUCACUCGGAACCUUUCCGAAGUCCGAAUAUAGUCGUCCAAUAUAUCGAUCUUUACGUCUCGACCAUUUCGAGACUCCUCGUCAUGUCCCCGAUCUCAUCCGGGACUCUGAACUCCUUCGGUACAUCAAAACUCAUAAACUCAUAAUAUAACUGUCAUCGAAACCUUAAGCGUGCGGACCCUACGGUUCGAGAACAAUGUAGACAUGACCGAGACACGUCUCCGGUCAAUAACCAAUAGCGGGACCUGGAUGCCCAUAUUGGCUCCUACAUAUUCUACGAAGAUCUUUAUCGGUCAAACCGCAUAACAACAUACGUUGUUCCCUUUGUCAUCGGUAUGUUACUUGCCCGAGAUUCGAUCGUCGGUAUCCAAUACCUAGUUCAAUCUCGUUACCGGCAAGUCUCUUUACUCAUUCCGUAAUACAUUAUCUCGCAACUAACUCAUUAAUUGCAAUGCUUGCAAGGCUUAUGUGAUGUGCAUUACCGAGAGGGCCCAGAGAUACCUCUCCGACAAUCGAAGUGACAAAUCCUAAUCUCGAAAUACGCCAACCCAACAUCGACCUUUGGAGACACCUGUAAUGCUCCUUUAUAAUCACCCAGUUACGUUGUGACGUUUGGUAGCACCCAAAGUGUUCCUCCGGCAAACGGGAGUUGCAUAAUCUCAUAGUCAUAGGAACAUGUAUAAGUCAUGAAGAAAGCAAUAGCAACAUACUAAACGAUCGUGUGCUAAGCUAAUGGAAUGGGUAAUGUCAAUCAGUUCAUUCAACUAAUGAUGUGAUCUCGUUAAUCAAAUAACAACUCUUUUGUCCAUGGUUAGGAAACAUAAUCAUCUUUGAUUAACGAGCUAGUCAAGUAGAGGCAUACUAGUGACACUCUGUUUGUCUAUGUAUUCACACAUGUAUUAUGUUUCCGGUUAAUACAAUUCUAGCAUGAAUAAUAGACAUUUAUCAUGAUAUAAGGAAAUAAAUAAUAACUUUAUUAUUGCCUCUAGGGCAUAUUUCCUUCAGUCUCCCACUUGCACUAGAGUCAAUAAUCUAGAUCACAUCACCAUGUGAUUAACAUCGAUAGUUCACAUCAUCAUGUGAUUAACACCCAUAGUUCACAUCGUCAUGUGACCAACACUCAAAGGGUUUACUAGAGUCAGUAAUCUAGUUCACAUCUCUAUGUGAUUAACACCCAAAGAGUACUAAGGUGUGAUCAUGUUUUGCUUGUGAGAUAAUUUUAGUCAACGGGUCUGUCACAUUCAGAUUCGUAAGUAUUUUGCAAGUUCUAUGUCUACAAUGCUCUACAUGGAGCUACUCUAGCUAAUUGCUCCCACUUUCAAUAUGUAUCCAGAUUGAGACUUAGAAUCAUCUGGAUCAGUGUCAAAAACUUGCAUCGACGUAACCCUUUACGAUGAACCUUUUUGUCACGUCCAUAAUCGAGAAACAUAUCCUUAUUUCACUAAGGAUAAUUCUGACCGCUGUCUAGUGAUCUACUCCUAGAUCACUAUUGUACUCCCUUGCCAAAUCAGUGCAGGGUAUACAAUAGAUCUGGUAUACAGCAUGACAUACUUUAUAGAACCUAUGGCCAAGGCAUAGGGAAUGACUUUCAUUCUCUUUCUAUCUUCUGCCGUGGUCGGGCUUUGAGUCUUACUCAACUUCACACCUUAUAAUACAGGCAAGAACUCUUUCUUUGACUGCUCCAUUUUGAACUACUUCAAAAUCUUGUCAAGGUAUGUACUCAUUGAAAAUACUUAUCUAGCGUCUUGAUCUAUCUCUAUAGAUCUUGAAGCUCAAUAUGUAAGCAGCUUCACCGAAGUCUUUCUUUGAAAAACUCCUUUCAAACACUCCUUUAUGCUUUACAGAAUAAUUCUACAUUAUUUCCGAUCAACAAUAUGUCAUUCACAUAUACUUAUCAGAAAUGUUGUAGUGCUCCCACUCAGUUUCUUGUAAAUACAGGCUUCACCGCAAGUCUGUAUAAAACUAUAUGCUUUGAUCAACUCAUCAAGGCGUAUAUUCCAACUCCGAGAUGCUUGCACCAGUCCACAGAUGGAUCGCUGGAGCUUGCACAUUUUGUUAGCACCUUUCGGAUUGACAAAACCUUCUGUUGCAUCAUAUACAACUCUUCUUUAAUAAAUCCAUUAAGGAAUGCAGUUUUGUUUAUCCAUUUGCCAGAUUUCAUAAAAUGCGGCAAGUACUAACAUGAUUCGGACAGACUCAAGCAUAGAUACGAGUGAGAAGCUCUCGUCGUAGUCAACACCUUGAACUUGUCGAAAACCUUUUGCGACAAUUCUAGCUUUGUAGAUAGUAACACUACUAUCAACGUCCGUCUUCCUCUUGAAGAUCCAUUUAUUCUCAAUUGCUUGCCGUUCAUCGGGCAAGUCAACCAAAGUCCAAACUUUGUUCUCAUACAUGGAUCAUAUCUCAGAUUUCAUGGCCUCAAACCAUUUCGCGGAAUCUAGGCUCAUCAUCGCUUCCUCAUAGUUCGUAGGUUCGUCAUGGUCAAGUAACAUGACCUCCAGAACAGGAUUACCGUACCACUCUGGUGCGGAUCUCACUCUGGUUUACCUACAAGAUUCGGUAGUAAUUUGAUCUGAAGUUACAUGAUCAUCAUCAUUAGCUUCCUCACUAAUUGGUGUAGUAGUCACAAGAACAGAUUUUUGUGAUGAACUACUUUCCAAUAAGGUAGAAGGUACAAUUACCUUAUCAAGUUUUCUACUUUCCUCCCACUUAGUUCUUUCAAGAGAAACUCCUUCUCUAGAAAGGAUCCAUUAUAAGCAACGAAUGUCUUGCCUUAGGAUCUGUGAUAGAAGGUGUACCCAACAGUCUCCUUUGGGUAUCCUAUGAAGACAUAUUUCUCCGAUUUGGGUUUGAGCUUAUCAGGAUGAAUUUUUUUUCUCAUAAGCAUCGCAACCCCAAACUUCAAGAAACGACAACUUUGGUUUCUUGCCAAACCAUAGUUCAUAAGGCAUCGUCUCAACGGAUAUAGAUGGUGCCCCUUUUUUUUAACGUGAAUGCAACUGUCUCUAAUGCAUGACCCCAAAAAUGAUAGUGGUAAAUCGGUAAGAUACAUCAUAGAUUGCACUAUAUCCAAUAAAGUACGGUUAUGAUGUUCGGACACACCAUUAUGCUGUGGUGUUCCAGGUGGCGUGAGUAGUGAAACUAUUUCACAUUGUUUUAACUGAAGACCAAACUCGUAACUCAAAUACUCUUUUCCACGAUCAGAUCGUAGAAACUUUAUUUUCUUGUUACGAUGAUUUUCCACUUCACUCUGAAAUUAUAUGAACUUUUCAAAUGUAUCAGACUUCUAUUUCAUUAAGUAGAUAUACCCAUAUCUGCUCAACUCAUCUGUGAAGGUCAGAAAAUAAUGAUACCCGCUGCAAGCCUUAAAUAUUCAUAGGACCACAUACAUCAGUAUGUAUGAUUUCCAACAAAUCUGUUGCUUGCUCCAUUGUUCCGGAGAACGGCGUUUUAGUCAUCUUGCCCAAAAGGCAUGGUUCGCAAGCAUCAAGUGAUUCAUAAUCAAGUGAUUCCGAAAGCCCAUCAGCAUGGAGUUUCUUCAUGCGCUUUAUACCAAUAUGACCUAAACGGCAGUGCCACAAAUAAGUUGCACUAUCAUUAUUAACUUUGCAUCUUUUGGUUUCAAUAUUAUGAAUAUGUGUAUCACUACGAUUGAGAUCCAACGAACUUGUUUCAUUGGUGUAUGACCAUCGAAGGUUUUAUUCAUGUAAACAGAACAACAAUUAUUCUCUGACUUUAAUGAAUAACCGUAUUGCAAUAAACAUGAUCAAAUCAUAUUCAUGCUCAACGCAAAAACCAAAUAACACUUAUUUAAGUUCAACACUAAUCCCGAAAGUAUAGGGGAGUGUGCGAUGAUGAUCAUAUCAAUCUUGGAACUACUUCCAACACACAUCGUCACUUCACCCUUAACUAGUCUCUGUUUAUUCUGCAACUCCUAUUUCGAGUUACUACUCUUAGCAACUGAACCAAUAUCAAAUACUGAGGGGUUGCUAUAAACACUAGUAAAGCACACAUCAAUAACAUGUAUAUCAAAUAUACUUUUGUUCACUUUGCCAUCCUUCUUAUCCGCCAAAUACUUGGGGCAGUUCCGCUUCCAGUGACCAGUCCCUUUGCAGUAGAAGCACUUAGUCUCAGGCUUAGGACCAGACUUGGGCUUCUUCACUUGAGCAGCAACUUGCUUGCCGUUCUUUUUGAAGUUCCCUUCUUCCCUUUUGCACUUUUCUUCAAACUAGUGGUCUUGUCAACCAUCAACACUUGAUGUUUUUCUUGAUUUCUACCUUCAUCGAUUUCAGCAUCACGAAGAGCUUGGGAAUCGUUUCCGUUAUCCCUUGCAUAUCAUAGUUCAUCACGAAGUUCUACUAACUUGGUGAUGGUGACUAGAGAAUUCUGUCAAUCACUAUCUUAUCUGGAAGAUUAACUCCCACUUGAUUCAAGCGAUUGUAGUACCCAGACAAUCUGAGCACAUGCUCACUAGUUGAGCGAUUCUCCUUCAUCUUUUAGCUAUAGAACUUGUUGGAGACUUCAUAUCUCUCAACUCGGGUAUUUGCUUGAAAUAUUAACUUCAACUCCUGGAACAUCUCAUAUGGUCCAUGACGUUCAAAACGUCUUUGAAGUCCCGAUUCUAAGCCAUUAAGCAUGGUGCACUAAACUAUCAAGUAGUCAUCAUAUUGAGCUAGCCAAACGUUCAUAACGUCUGCAUCUGCUCCUGCAAUAGGUUUGUCACCUAGCGGUGCAUCAAGGACAUAAUUUUUCUGUGCAGCAAUGAGGAUAAACCUCAGAUCACGGAUCCAAUCCGUAUCAUUGCUACUAACAUCUUUCAACACAAUUUUCUCUAGGAACAUAUCAAAAUAAACAUAUGAAAGCAACAACGCGAGCUGUUGAUCUUCAACAUAGAUAUGCUAAUACUACCAGGACUAAGUUCAUGAUAAAUUAAAGUUCAAUUAAUCAUAUUACUUAAGAACUCCCACUUAGAUAGACAUCCCUCUAAUCCUCUAAGUGAUCACGUGAUCCAAAUCAACUAAACCAUAACCGAUCAUCACGUGAGAUGGAGUAUUUUUCAAUGGUGAACAUCGUUAUGUUGAUCAUAUCUACUAUAUGAUUCACGCUCGACCUUUCGGUCUCUGUGUUCCGAGGCCAUAUCUGCAUAUGCUAGGCUCGUCAAGUUUAACCUGAGUAUUCUGCGUGUGCAAAACUGGCUUGCACCCGUUGUAGAUGGACGUAGAGCUUAUCACACCCGAUCAUCACGUGGUGUCUGGGCACGACGAACUUUGGCAACGGUGCAUACUUAGGGAGAACACUUCAUGAUAAUUUAGUGAGCGAUCAUCUUAUAAUGCUACCGUCAAUCAAAGCAAGAUAAGAUGCAUAAAAGGAUAAACAUCACAUGCAAUCAAUAUAAGUGAUAUGAUAUGGCCAUCAUCAUCUUGUGCUUGUGAUCUCCAUCUCCGAAGCACCGUCAUGAUCACCAUCGUCACCGACGCGACACCUUGAUCUCCAUCGUAGCAUCGUUGUCGUCUCGCCAAUCUUAUGCUUCCACGACUAUCACUACCGCUUAGUAAUAAAGUAAAGCAUUACAUCGCGAUUGCAUUGCAUACAAUAAAGCGACAACCAUAUGGCUCCUGCCAGUUGCCGAUAACUUGGUUACAAAACAUGAUCAUCUCAUACAAUAAAAUCAGCAUCAUGCCUUGACCAUAUCACAUCACAACAUGCCCUGCAAAAACAAGUUAGACAUCCUCUACUUUGUUGUUGCAAGUUUUACGUGACUGCUACGGGCUUAAGUAAGAAGUCAUCUCACCUACGCAUCAAAACCACAACGAUAGUUCGUCAAAUAGACUCCGUUUUAACCUUCUCAAGGACCGGGCGUAGCCAUACUCGGUUCAACUAAAGUUGGAGAGACAGUCGCCCGCAAGCCAUCUAUGUGCUAAGCACGUCGAGGGAAUCGGUCUCGCGUAAGCGUACGCGUAAGGUUGGUCCGGGUCGUCUCGUCCAACAAUACCGCCGAACCAAAGUAUGACAUGCUGGUAGGCAGUAUGACUUGUAUCGCCCACAACUCACUUGUGUUCUACUCGUGCAAAUAACAUCAAACCAUAAAACCUAGGCUCGGAUGCCACUGUUGGGGAACGUAGUAAUUUCAAAACAUUUCUUACGCACACGCAAGAUCAUGGUGAUGCAUAGCAACGAGAGGGGAGAUUGUUGUCUACGUACCAACGCAGACCGACUGCGGAAGCGAUCACACAACAUAGAGGAAGUAGUCGUACGUCUUCUUUCCGAUCCGACCGAUCCAAGCACCGUUACUCCGGCACCUCCGAGUUCUUAGCACACGUACAGCUCGAUGACGAUCCCCGGGCAUCGAUCCAGCAAAGCUUUGGGGAGGAGUUCCGUCAGCACGACGGCGUGGUGACGAUCUUGAUGUUCUACCGACGCAGGGCUUCGCCUAAGCACUACAACGGUAUGACCGAGGUGGAAUAUGGUGGCAGGGGCAUCGCACACGGCUAAGGGACGAUCUCAAGGAUCAACUUGUGUGUCUAUGGGGUGCCCCUUGCCUCAGUAUAUAAAGGAUGGAGGAGGAGGAGGCCGGCCAAGGCAUAAGGUGCGGCCAGGAUGGGAGUCCUACUAGGACUCCAAGUCCUAGUAGGAGUCCAUCAAGAGGGGAGGAAGGGAGAAGGAAGUGGAGGAGUAGGAAAGGUGGCCGGCCCCUUUUCCCUAGUCCAAUUCGGACUAGAGGGGAGGGGGGCGCAGCAGGCCUUUUCUCCUCUUCCCACUAAAGCCCAUCAAGGCCCAAUACUUCUCCCAGCGAAUUCCCGUAACUCUCCGGUAGUCCGAAAAAUACCCGAAUCACUCGGAACCUUUCCGAAGUCCGAAUAUAGUCGUCCAAUAUAUCGAUCUUUACGUCUCGACCAUUUCGAGACUCCUCGUCAUGUCCCCGAUCUCAUCCGGGACUCCGAACUCCUUCGGUACAUCAAAACUCAUAAACUCAUAAUAUAACUGUCAUCGAAACCUUAAGCGUGCGGACCCUACGGUUCGAGAACAAUGUAGACAUGACCGAGACACGUCUCCGGUCAAUAACCAAUAGCGGGACCUGGAUGCCCAUAUUGGCUCCUACAUAUUCUACGAAGAUCUUUAUCGGUCAAACCGCAUAACAACAUACGUUGUUCCCUUUGUCAUAGGUAUGUUACUUGCCCGAGAUUCAAUCGUCGGUAUCCAAUACCUAGUUCAAUCUCGUUACCGGCAAGUCUCUUUACUCGUUCCGUAAUACAUCAUCUUGCAACUAACUCAUUAAUUGCAAUGCUUGCAAGGCUUAUGUGAUGUGCAUUACCGAGAGGGCCUAGAGAUACCUCUCCGACAAUCGGAGUGACAAAUCCUAAUCUCGAAAUACGCCAACCCAACAUCGACCUUUGGAGACACCUGUAAUGCUCCUUUAUAAUCACCCAGUUACGUUGUGACGUUUGGUAGCAGCCAAAGUGUUCCUCCGGCAAACGGGAGUUGCAUAAUCUCAUAGUCAUAGGAACAUGUAUAAGUCAUGAAGAAAGCAAUAGCAACAUACUAAACGAUCGUGUGCUAAGCUAAUGGAAUGGGUCAUGUCAAUCAGAUCAUUCAACUAAUGAUGUGAUCUCGUUAAUCAAAUAACAACUCUUUUGUCCAUGGUUAGGAAACAUAAUCAUCUUUGAUUAACGAGCUAGUCAAGUAGAGGCAUACUAGUGACACUCUGUUUGUCUAUGUAUUCACACAUGUAUUAUGUUUCCGGUUAAUACAAUUUUAGCAUGAAUAAUAAACAUUUAUCAUGAUAUAAGGAAAUAAAUAAUAACUUUAUUAUUGCCUCUAGGGCAUAUUUCCUUCAGUCAUCAUAUUGAGCUAGCCAAACGUUCAUAACGUCUACAUCUGCUCCUGCAAUAGGUCUGUCACCUAGCGGUGCAUCAAGGACAUAAUUCUUCUGUGCGGCAAUGAGGAUAAACCUCAGAUCACGGAUCCAAUCUGCAUCAUUGCUACUAACAUCUUUCAACACAAUUUCCUCUAGGAACAUAUCAAAACAAACACAGGGAAGUAACAACGCGAGCUAUCGAUCUACAACAUAAUUUGCAAAAUACUACCAGGACUAAGUUCAUGAUAAAUUUAAGUUCAAUUUAAUCAUAUUACUUUAAGAACUCCCACUUAGAUAGACAUCCCUCUAAUCCUCUAAGUGAUCACGUGAUCCAAAUUAACUAAACCAUAACCGAUCAUCACGUGAGAUGGAGUAGUUUUCAAUGGUGAACAUCGUUAUGUUGAUCAUAUCUACUAUAUGAUUCACGCUCGACCUUUCGGUCUCCGUGUUCCGAGGCCAUAUCUGUGAAGGAAAUAUGCCCUAGAGGCAAUAAUAAAGUUAUUAUUUAUUUCCUUAUAUCAUGAUAAAUGUUUAUUAUUCAUGCUAGAAUUGUAUUAACCGGAAACAUAAUACAUGUGUGAAUACAUAGACCAACAUAGUGUCACUAGUAUGCCUCUACUUGACUAGCUCGUUAAUCAAAGAUGGUUAUGUUUCCUAACCAUGAACAAAGAGUUGUUAUUUGAUUAACGAGGUCACAUCAUUAGUUGAAUGAUCUGAUUGACAUGACCCAUUCCAUUAGCUUAGCACCCGAUCGUUUAGUAUGUUGCUAUUGCUUUCUUCAUGACUUAUACAUGUUCCUAUAACUAUGAGAUUAUGCAACUCCCGUUUACCGGAGGAACACUUUGGGUACUACCAAACGUCACAACGUAACUGGGUGAUUAUAAAGGAGUACUACAGGUGUCUCCAAUGGUAGAUGUUGGGUUGGCGUAUUUCGAGAUUAGGGUUUGUCACUCCGAUUGUCGGAGAGGUAUCUCUGGGCCCUCUCGGUAAUGCACAUCACAUAAGCCUUGCAAGCACUGCAACUAAUAUGUUAGUUGUGAGAUGAUGUAUUACGGAACGAGUAAAGAGACUUGCCAGUAACGAGAUUGAACUAGGUAUUGGAUACCGACGAUCGAAUCUCGGGCAAGUAACAUACCGAUGACAAAGGGAACAACGUAUGUUGUUAUGCGGUCUGACCGAUAAAGAUCUUCGUAGAAUAUGUAGGAGCCAAUAUGGGCAUCCAGGUCCCGCUAUUGGUUAUUGACCGGAGACGUGUCUCGGUCAUGUCUACAUUGUUCUCGAACCGUAGGGUCCGCACGCUUAACGUUACGAUGACAGUUAUUAUGAGUUUAUGCAUUUUGAUGUACCGAAGGUUGUUCGGAGUCCCAGAUGAGAUCACAGACUUGACGAGGAGUCUCGAAAUGGUCGAGACGUAAAGAUUGAUAUAUUGGAAGCCUAUGUUUGGACAUAGGAAGUGUUCCGGGUGAAAUCGGGAUUUUACCGGAAUACCGGGAGGGUUACCGGAACCCCCCGGGAGACUAAUGGGCCUAUUGGGCCUUAGUGGAAAAAGAGAAAAGGGGCAACCCAUAGCUGGCCGGCGCCCCCCCUUUCCCCAAGUCCUAGUAGGACUAGGAUAAGGGGCCGGCCCCCCCUUCUCUCUCCUUUUCCCCGAGAGUCCUAAUUGGAAUAGGAUUGGAGGGGGGAGUCCUACUCCCGGUGGGAGUAGGACUCCCCCUGCGCCUCCCUCUCCCUGGCCGGCCGCCCCCCCUCCUCCAACCUUUAUAUACGGGGGCAGGGGACACCCCAAGACACACAAGUUGAUCCUUGAGAUCGUUCCUUAGCCGUGUGCGGUGCCCCCUGCCACCAAAUUCCACCUCGAUCAUACCGUUACAGUGCUUAGGCGAAGCCCUGCGUCGGUAGUACAUCAAGAUCGUCACCACGCCGUCGUGCUGACGGAACUCUUCCUCGACGCUUUGCUGGAUCGGAGCCCGAGGAACGUCAUCGAGCUGAACGUGUGCUAAGAACUCGGAGGUGCCGGAGUAACGGUGCUUGGAUCGGUCGGAUCGGAAAGAAGACGUACGACUACUUCCUCUACGUUGUGUGAUCACUUCCGCAGUCGGUCUGCGUUGGUACGUAGACAACACUCUCCCCUCUCGUUGCUGUGCAUCACCAUGAUCUUGUGUGUGCGUAGGAAAAUUUUCGAAAUUACUGCGUUCCCCAACAAUCUGCAUAUGCUAGGCUCGUCAAGUUUAACCUGAGUAUUCUGCGUGUGCAAAAACUGGCUUGCACCCGUUGUAGAUGGACGUAGAGCUUAUCACACUCUAUCAUCACGUGGUGUCUGGGCACGAUGAACUUUGGCAACGGUGCAUACUCAGGGAGAACACUUCUUGAUAAUUUAGUGAGAGAUCAUCUUAUAAUGCUACCGUCAAUCAAAGCAAGAUAAGAUGCAUAAAAAAGAUAAACAUCACAUGCAAUCAAUUCAAUAUAAGUGAUAUGAUAUGGCCAUCAUAUUCUUGUGCUUGUGAUCUCCAUCUCCGAAGCACCGUCAUGAUCACCAUCGUCACCGGCGCGACACCUUGAUCUCCAUCGUAGCAUCGUUGUCGUCUUGCCAAUCUUAUGCUUCCACGACUAUCGCUACCGCUUAGUGAUAAAGUAAAGCAUUACAUCGCGAUUGCAUUGCAUACAAUAAAACGACAACCAUAUGGCUCCUGCCAGUUGCCGAUAACUCGGUUACAAAACAUGAUCAUCUCAUACAAUAAAAUUUAGCAUCAUGUCUUGACCAUAUCACAUCACAACAUGCCCUGCAAAAACAAGUUAGACGUCCUCUACUUUGUUGUUGCAAGUUUUACGUGGCUGCUACGGGCUUAAGCAAGAACCAAUCUCAGCUACGCAUCAAAACCACAAUGAUAGUUUGUCAAAUAGACUCCGUUUUAACCUUCGCAAGGACCGGGCGUAGCCACACUUGGUUCAACUAAAGUUGGAGAAACAGUCACCCGCAAGCCACCUUUGUGCAAAGCACGUCGGGAGAACCGGUCUCGCGUAAGCGUACGCGUAAUGUCGGUCCGGGCCGCUUCAUCCAACAAUACCGCCGAACCAAAGUAUGACAUGCUGGUAGGCAGUAUGACUUAUAUCGCCCACAACUCACUUGUGUUCUACUCGUGCAUAUAACAUCAAACCAUAAAACCUAGGCUCUGAUACCACUGUUGGGGAACGUAGUAAUUUCAAAAAAUUUCCUACGCACACGCAAGAUCAUGGUGAUGCAUAGCAACGAGGGGGAGAGUCUGAUCUACGUACCCUUGUAGAUCGCAACGGAAGCGUUGACACAACGUAGAGGAAGUAGUCGUACGACUUCUUCCCGAUCCGACCGAUCCAAGCACCAUUACUCCGGCACCUCCAAGUUCUUAGCACACGUACAGCUCGAUGACGAUCCCCGGGCUCCGAUCCAGCAAAGCUCCGGGGAGGAGUUCCGUCAGCACGACGGCGUGGUGACGAUCUUAAUGUACUACCGACGCAGGGCUGCGCCUAAGCACUACAACGGUAUUAUCGAGGUGGAAUAUGGUGGCAGGGGGCACCGCACACGGUUAGGAACGAUCUCAAUGAUCAACUUGUGUGUCUAUGGGGUGCCCCCUGCCCCCGUAUAUAAAGGAGCAAGGGAGGAGGGGCGGCCGGCCUAGGAGUGGGCGCGCCAAGGGGAGUCCUACUCCCACCGGGAGUAGGACUCCUUCUUUCCUUGUCCAACUAGGAGAAGGGGGGAAUGGAGGGAAGUGGAGAAGGAAGGGAGAGGUGGGCCGCGCCCCAAAUCCCUUGUCCAAUUCAGACUAGGCUUGGGAGGGGCGCGCGCCACCUCCUGGCUCCUUCCCACUAAAGCCCAUUAAGGCCCAAUACUCUUCCCCGUAUUCCCGUAACUCCCCGGUACCUCCGAAAAUACCCGAAUCACUCGGAACCUUUCCGAUGUCUGAAUUGUAACACCCUCGAUGCGACUAUAUCUCCCACGUGUCGAGGCACGACUUAGAGGCAUAAUCGCAUUGAAGGCAAUGUCGCAAGUGAGGUAAUCUUCACACAACCCAUGUAAUACAAUAGGGGAAAAAGUUACAUAGUUGGCUUACAAUCGCCACUUCACACAAUUACAUGAAUAAAGCAUUACAUCAUUCAAAUACACUCAAGGUCCGACUACGGAACCAAAAUAAAAGAAGAACCCCAAAUGCGACAAAGGUCCCCGAUCGACCCCAACUGGGCACCACUACUGAUCAACUAGAACGAAACAACAUAAAGGACAAGAUCUUCAACGAGCUCCUCCUGAGCUUGGUUGCGUCAUCUGCACGGACUCAUCG